AUAAAGGCCCUUUUCAGGGCCCUCAAACUUUCAUUAAAAGAGCUA
Erinaceus europaeus (western European hedgehog) is the source of this 45-nucleotide non-coding RNA. The record is from Rfam. NCBI's taxonomy places the organism in Eukaryota, Metazoa, Chordata, Mammalia, Eulipotyphla, Erinaceidae.